This 253-nucleotide ribosomal RNA is filed under the name uncultured bacterium. Its description in RNAcentral is "partial 16S ribosomal RNA". It matches the Rfam family "Bacterial small subunit ribosomal RNA", at positions 524 to 776 of the family's 1533-position model. The record is from RNAcentral.
UACGUAGGGUGCAAGCGUUAAUCGGAAUUACUGGGCGUAAAGCGUGCGCAGGCGGUUCGGAAAGAAAGAUGUGAAAUCCCAGGGCUUAACCUUGGAACUGCAUUUUUAACUACCGGGCUAGAGUAUGUCAGAGGGGGGUGGAAUUCCACGUGUAGCAGUGAAAUGCGUAGAUAUGUGGAGGAACACCGAUGGCGAAGGCAGCCCCCUGGGAUAAUACUGACGCUCAUGCACGAAAGCGUGGGGAGCAAACAGG